This is a long non-coding RNA of Apis florea (little honeybee), 1061 nucleotides long. Lineage: Eukaryota; Metazoa; Arthropoda; Insecta; Hymenoptera; Apidae. The record is from RefSeq and is a predicted model, not a curated record.
AUCUCUCUGAGAAUACAAGCGGGGAUCGCUUACGCCGAGGAAUGCGAGGCAAGCAGUGCAAAAGGGCGGUACAUCUGCGCCGGCCAGCGAAAAGACGAGCGCGUGUAUUUAGCGGUGUGCAGGUUGGUCGUGCACCGGGUUAAAAGGAGGGUGCAUAUCGCGAGAUAGGAUCGGCCGCGGUAGCCGCGUACGACCGGCUGGCCGAGAUAAACAUCGAGCCAAACGAACCUGGCCAACCCCUUUCGGCUGACUUUUCAACCACCUUGCAACGAUUCGUAUAUCGCGACUGAUCUACCUCUCCCUCGCAUUUCGGCCCACUUUAUAUUGUAUAUACACACUAUGUAUGCGAACAGGGUCCAACGAUAUAUCGCCAUCUGUGGCUCAUUAGCUUAAGCGGUACAAAGCGAGUAACGUGGUCUCUCGCCUUGCUUCGCUGCGCCUUACCACGUGGGCUCUCGAGAGCCCGCUCGAGUCCGCUCGUCUCGCCUCGCCUCGCCUAUCACCGACCGCUUAACGGCCAUUAUACGGAUUAUUACCUUACUUCUCGAGUGGAAAACCGCCAACUGACGCCGUCUUGAAUCCCAAAACGAACGAGGAAGACAUUUUUCCAUACGGCAUUUCGACUUCUAGUUGAUCAUUCUUCGCUAACCGUUUCGUGGUUAAGGUGGCGCUGUCACUCGUAACAGGACGAGUCCAUUCGAGAAGCGGAGACGCGAGUAUGGUGAUAAUUUUUUUGAAAUCAGUGGAAAUUAUGUGUGUCAGUUUAAAAUACGAUUCGUAAAGAGGACGAUUUCGAAUUGGAGUGCACGGCCGCCACCCACGCUGGUAAGAACACGAACAGAUGUUUUACGACUUCCAUGAUUCUUCUACAUGAUGAUGGCUUUUAUGAUAACUUCUUAAAGCUUGACAGUCUUUAUGAUAACUUCUUAACAGCAUCAAUGAUCUUCGCAUCUAAUGGUGAGUCACAUGCACCUUUGUUCCUUCAAUCAUUUAAUCAUGUCAUAGGACGAAAAUUUCAAAUCGACAUAAAUGAUAUUGUACACGUAGACUUUUACACGAGU